UAGGGAAUCUUCGGCAAUGGACGGAAGUCUGACCGAGCAACGCCGCGUGAGUGAUGAAGGUCUUCGGAUCGUAAAGCUCUGUUGCCAGGGAAGAAGGGCAAGGAGAGUGACUGCUCUUUGCUUGACGGUACCUGAGAAGAAAGCCCCGGCUAACUACGUGCCAGCAGCCGCGGUAAUACGUAGGGGGCGAGCGUUGUCCGGAAUUAUUGGGCGUAAAGCGCGCGCAGGCGGUUCUUUAAGUCCGGUGUUUAAGCCCGGGGCUCAACCUCGGGACGCACGGGAAACUGGGGGACUGGAGUGCAGGAGAGGGAAGCGGAAUUCCACGUGUAGCGGUGAAAUGCGUAGAGAUGUGGAGGAACACCAGUGGCGAAGGCGGCUUCCUGGCCUGUAACUGACGCUGAGGCGCGAAAGCGUGGGGAGCAAACA
This 426-nucleotide ribosomal RNA is filed under the name uncultured Paenibacillaceae bacterium. Its description in RNAcentral is "partial 16S ribosomal RNA". It matches the Rfam family "Bacterial small subunit ribosomal RNA", at positions 355 to 774 of the family's 1533-position model. The record is from RNAcentral. Lineage: Bacteria; Bacillati; Bacillota; Bacilli; Caryophanales; Paenibacillaceae. RNAcentral also lists the same sequence under 1 other name.